RNAcentral lists this ribosomal RNA (1463 nucleotides) under metagenome. Its description in RNAcentral is "bacterial LSU rRNA". It matches the Rfam family "Bacterial large subunit ribosomal RNA", at positions 1476 to 2925 of the family's 2925-position model. The record is from RNAcentral.
GGCGUGGUAGGUCAGCCUCUUAACGGAUUGAGGUGCCAAACGCGUAGGACGUUGAAGGGUGUAGGUAAGUCCGCACCCCGAGUCCGAAACGUGAUGGCGGUGCCUUAGAGCCACAAGUGAUUGAGCCAUGCCGCCUAGAAAAGCUUCUAAGCGUUGAUAUUUGAGUGACCGUACCGCAAACCGACACUGGUAGGUGGGUAGAAUAUACCAAGGGGAGCGAGAGAACCCUCGUUAAGGAAUUAGGCAAAUUUCCCCCGUACGUUCGCAAUAAGGGGGGCCUCUGGUGGUGAGCUUAAUCGCAAAGCUGCUGGAGGCCGCAGAGAAAUGGCUCUUCCAACUGUUUAACAAAAACACAGGUCUCUGCUAAGUCGAAAGACGAAGUAUAGGGGCUGACGCCUGCCCAGUGCUGGAAGGUUAAGGGGAGAGGUUAGGCGCAAGCCGAAGCUUUGAGCCGAAGCCCCAGUGAACGGCGGCCGUAACAAUAACGGUCCUAAGGUAGCGAAAUUCCUUGUCGGGUAAGUUCCGACCCGCACGAAUGGCGUAAUGAGAGGAGCACUGUCUCAACGAGGGACUCGGCGAACAUUGAAGGACGUGUGAAGAUACACGUGACCCGCAGCGGGACAAAAAGACCCCGUGAAGCUUUACUACAACUUGCCAUUGAGUUAGGGCUAAACCUGUGUAGUAUAGGUGGGAGGCUUUGAAGCUGGGACGCCAGUCUCGGUGGAGCCACCGUUGAAAUACCACCCUGGUUUAUUCUUGGCUCUAACCUGUCGCCGUUAUCCGGCAUGGGAACAGUGGCUGGUGGGUAGUUUGACUGGGGCGGUCGCCUCCGAAAGCGUAACAGAGGCGCCCAAAGGUUCCCUCAGGCUGAAUGGAAACCAGCCGUUGAGUGUAAAGGCACAAGGGAGCUUGACUGCAAGACCAACAAGUCGCGCAGGGACGAAAGUCGGGCUUAGUGAUCCCACGGUUCAGAGUGGAAUGGCCGUGGCUUACCGGAUAAAAGCUACUCCGGGGAUAACAGGGUAGUCUGGUCCAAGAGUUCAUAUCGACGACCAGGUUCGCCACCUCGAUGUCGGCUCAUCACAUCCUGGGGCUGGAUAAGGUCCCAAGGGUUGGGCUGUUCGCCCAUUAAAGUGGUACGUGAGCUGGGUUCAGACCGUCGUGAGACAGGUCGGUCUCUAUCCGCUGUGGGCGUAAGGGAUUUGAGAGAAGCUGCCCCUAGUACAAGAGGACCGGGGUGGACGGACCUCUAGUGUGCCAGUUGUUCUGCCAAGAGCAUUGCUGGGUAGCUACGUCCGGCAGAGAUAACCGCUGAAAGCAUCUAAGUGGGAAACUCGUCUCAAGAUUAGAUCCCUCAUCCGUGUGGAGUAAGACCGCUAGAAGACUACUAGUUUGAUAGGCGGCAGGUGUAAGCGCAGUAAUGUGUUCAGCUUAGCCGUACUAAUGGUCGAGGGCUUACGUUU